AAAACUCCAUCAUCCAUCAAGGCAUCAACCAGAACACAAAAAAGAAGGAAAAAGAGGGGGAAAAAAGAAAAAUGGCAGCCUCAUCCUCCUUGUUCACACCCUCCACCAUCACCGUCCGAAAACACCAAAUUUCACCCUCCACCAUCUCAUUCCAAGGCCUAAGACCCCUCAACACCAGGGCCAAAACCUCCCUCCCCAAGCUCGCCACCUCCGCCAAAAGAAACAGCUUCGGCGGCAUUAAAGCUGAGCUGAGCACACCACUUGUCAUCAGCCUCAGCACUGGCCUCUCCUUGUUCUUGGGCAGGUUCGUCUUCUUCAACUUCCAAAGAGAGAACGUGGCCAAACAAGGCUUGCCCGAGCAGAAUGGAGUCACCCACUUUGAAGCCGGUGAUGUUCGUGCCAAGGAAUAUGUUAGCCUCCUCAAAUCCAACGACCCAGUUGGCUUUAACAUUGUUGAUGUUCUUGCUUGGGGUUCCAUUGGCCAUAUUGUCGCUUACUACAUCUUGGCCACCUCCAGCAACGGCUAUGAUCCCAAGUUCUUUGGUUGAUUUUGUUAUUUGUACUGUCUCUCUUUGUCUCUUUUAGUUUCUUAAUUUCUCAAGUGUUGC
Molecule: long non-coding RNA, 608 nt
Filed under: Citrus x clementina
Lineage: Eukaryota; Viridiplantae; Streptophyta; Magnoliopsida; Sapindales; Rutaceae
Description: Citrus clementina (C. clementina) long non-coding RNA (CCLE_LNC006834)
Source: RNAcentral